RNAcentral lists this ribosomal RNA (489 nucleotides) under uncultured bacterium. Its description in RNAcentral is "partial 16S ribosomal RNA". It matches the Rfam family "Bacterial small subunit ribosomal RNA", at positions 30 to 507 of the family's 1533-position model. The record is from RNAcentral.
UUGAACGCUGGCGGCAGGCCUAACACAUGCAAGUCGAACGGUAACAGGAAACAGCUUGCUGUUUCGCUGACGAGUGGCGGACGGGUGAGUAAUGUCUGGGAAACUGCCUGAUGGAGGGGGAUAACUACUGGAAACGGUAGCUAAUACCGCAUAACGUCGCAAGACCAAAGAGGGGGACCUUAGGGCCUCUUGCCAUCGGAUGUGCCCAGGUGGGAUUAGCUAGUAGGUGGGGUAACGGCUCACCUAGGCGACGAUCCCUAGCUGGUCUGAGAGGAUGACCAGCCACACGGGAACUGAGACACGGUCCAGAGGCCUACGAGAGGCAGCAGUGGGGAAUAUGGCACAAUGGGGGCAAGCCUGAUGCAGCCAUGCCGCGUGUAUGAAGAAGGCCUUCGGGUUGUAAAGUACUUUCAGCGGGGAUGAAGGGAGUAAAGUUAAUACCUUUGCUCAUUGACGUUACCCGCAGAAGAAGCACCGACUAACUCCGUG